Molecule: ribosomal RNA, 1473 nt
Filed under: uncultured archaeon
Lineage: Archaea
Description: bacterial SSU rRNA
Rfam family: Archaeal small subunit ribosomal RNA
Source: RNAcentral
UCCGGUUGAUCCUGCCGGACCCCACUGCUAUCGGGGUGAGACUAAGCCAUGCUAGUUGAGCGCCUCUAAGCCACGUUAGAGGAGCAGCACACGGCUCAGUAACACACGGUUAACCUAGCCUCGAGACGGAGACACCCCCGGGAAACUGGGGCUAAUCUCCGAUAGGUGAGGAGGCUUGGAACGGUUCCUCGCCGAAAGGGGAUGCAGGCCAUGCUUCUGCAUCCCGCUCAAGGAUGGGACCAUGCCCGAUCAGGCUGUUGGCGGGGUAACGGCCCACCAAACCGAUAACCGGUACGGGCCGUGAGAGCGGGAGCCCGGAGAUGGACACUGAGACAAGGGUCCAGGCCCUAUGGGGCGCAGCAGGCGCGAAAACUCCGCAAUGCGCGAAAGCGUGACGGGGUCACCCCGAGUGUCACCUGUUGAAGGUGACUUUUCUCCAGUGUACAAAGCUGGAGGAAUAAGGGGAGGGCAAGCCUGGUGUCAGCCGCCGCGGUAAUACCAGCUCCCCGAGUAGUGGGGGCGAUUAUUGGGCCUAAAGCGUCCGUAGCCGGCUCGGUAAGUUUCCCGUUAAAUCCGACGACUCAAUCGUUGGGCUGCGGGAAAUACUGCCAAGCUAGGAGGCGGGAGAGGCCGGCGGUACUUUCGGGGUAGGGGUGAAAUCCUAUAAUCCCGAAAGGACCACCAGUGGCGAAGGCGGCCGGCCAGAACGCGCUCGACGGUGAGGGACGAAAGCUGGGGGAGCGAACCGGAUUAGAUACCCGGGUAGUCCCAGCUGUAAACGAUGCGGGCUAAGUGUCGGGAUGGCUAUAAUGCCAUCUCGGUGCUGCAGGGAAGCCGUUAAGCCCGCCGCCUGGGGAGUACGGCCGCAAGGCUGAAACUUAAAGGAAUUGGCGGGGGAGCACCACAAGGGGUGAAGCUUGCGGUUUAAUUGGAGUCAACGCCGGAAAUCUCACCGGGGGAGACAGCUGGAUGAAAGCCAGAUUGAAGGUCUUGCUGGACUAGCUGAGAGGAGGUGCAUGGCCGUCGCCAGUUCGUGCCGUGAGGUAUCCCGUUAAGUCGGGCAACGAGCGAGACCCACACCCCUAGUUGCCAGUGGCGCUGGGAAACCGGUCCAGGCACUCUAGGGGGACCGCCGCCGAUAAGGCGGAGGAAGGAGUGGGCCACGGCAGGUCAGUAUGCCCUGAAUCCCUCGGGCCACACGUGAGCUGCAAUGGUAGGGACAAUGGGUUCCGACCCCGAAAGGGGAAGGUAAUCCCGAAACCCUACCUCAGUUGGGAUCGAGGGCUGAAACCCGUCCUCGUGAACAUGGAAUCCCUAGUAAUCGCGUGUCAUCAGCGCGCGGUGAAUACGUCCCUGCUCCUUGCACACACCGCCCGUCGCUCCAACCGAGUUGGGCUUGGAUGAGGGAUGGUCUUGUUGGCCAUUUCGAAUCCAAACUCAGCAAGGGGGGAGAAGUCGUAACAAGGUAACCGU